Molecule: ribosomal RNA, 582 nt
Filed under: Triticum aestivum (bread wheat)
Lineage: Eukaryota; Viridiplantae; Streptophyta; Magnoliopsida; Poales; Poaceae
Description: partial small subunit ribosomal RNA
Source: RNAcentral
AUGGUUUCCGCCGAUGUGGCCCGCAACAUCGUCGGCAUCAUCGGCAAUGUCAUCUCCUUCGGCCUCUUCCUCUCCCCUGUGCCAACGUUCUGGCGGAUCUACAAGGCCAAGGACGUGGAGGAGUUCAAGCCGGACCCCUAUCUGGCGACGCUCAUGAACUGCCUGCUCUGGUUCUUUUACGGGCUCCCCAUCGUCCACCCCAACAGCACCCUCGUCCUCACCAUCAACGGCAUCGGCCUUGUCAUCGAGGGCGCCUACAUCAUCAUCUUCAUCAUCUACGCGGCCAAGAACACAAGGUGGAAGAUGCUCGGCGUGCUGGCCAUCGAGGCAGCGUUCAUGGCUGCCGUGGUGGCCGGUGUGCUCGUCGGCGCCCACACCCAUGAGAAGCGCUCCAUGAUCGUAGGCAUCCUCUGCGUCAUCUUCGGCUCCAUCAUGUACGCCUCCCCGCUCACCAUCAUGGGUAAAGUGAUCAGGACCAAGAGUGUGGAGUACAUGCCAUUCUUCCUGUCGCUGGUGAACUUCCUCAAUGGCUUGUGCUGGACGGGCUAUGCGCUCAUCAAGUUUGACAUCUACAUCACGGUA